UGGGUAACCCGCCUCAAAGAGGGGAAUAGCCUCCCGAAAGGGAGAUUAAUACCGCAUAAUAUGUUUAGGUCGCAUGACUUUAACAUCAAAGGAUUUUCUUUUAGAAAUUCCACUUUGAGAUGGACCCGCGGCGCAUUAGCUAGUUGGUGAGGUAACGGCUCACCAAGGCAACGAUGCGUAGCCGACCUGAGAGGGUGAUCGGCCACAUUGGAACUGAGACACGGUCCAGGCUCCUACGGGAGCAG
Molecule: ribosomal RNA, 245 nt
Filed under: uncultured bacterium
Lineage: Bacteria
Description: partial 16S ribosomal RNA
Rfam family: Bacterial small subunit ribosomal RNA
Source: RNAcentral